CGUGAGAUGUUGGGUUAAGUCCCGCAACGAGCGCAACCCUUAUCCUAUGUUGCCAGCGCGUUAUGGCGGGGACUCGUGGGAGACUGCCGGGGUCAACUCGGAGGAAGGUGGGGACGACGUCAAGUCAUCAUGCCCCUUAUGUCCAGGGCUGCAAACAUGCUACAAUGGCCGGUACAAAGGGCUGCUAUACCGUGAGGUGGAGCGAAUCCCAGAAAGCCGGUCUCAGUUCGGAUUGAAGUCUGCAACUCGACUUCA
This 255-nucleotide ribosomal RNA is filed under the name uncultured bacterium. RNAcentral's name for it is "partial 16S ribosomal RNA". It matches the Rfam family "Bacterial small subunit ribosomal RNA", at positions 1066 to 1320 of the family's 1533-position model. The record is from RNAcentral.